GAAGGCAUGGCUCAAGUGGUAGAGCACCUACCUAGCAAGUACAAGGCCCUGAGUUCAAUUCGCAGUAUCACCA
This 73-nucleotide transfer RNA is filed under the name Dipodomys ordii (Ord's kangaroo rat). It matches the Rfam family "tRNA". Rfam says of the family: Transfer RNA (tRNA) molecules are approximately 80 nucleotides in length. Lineage: Eukaryota; Metazoa; Chordata; Mammalia; Rodentia; Heteromyidae. The record is from Rfam by way of RNAcentral.